UACGUAGGGUGCAAGCGUUAAUCGGAGUUACUGGGCGUAAAGCGCACGCAGGCGGUCUUUUAAGUUUGGAGUGACAGUUGGUGGCUUAACUGCCAAAGUGCUUCGAAAACUGAAAGACUUGAGGGCUUCAGAGGGACACGGAAUCCGGGUGGAGUGGUGAAAUGCGCAGAUAUCAGGAGGAACACCGGUGGCGAAGGCGGGUCUCUGGGCCGAUACUGACGCUGAGGAGCGAAAGCGUGGGGAGCGAACAGG
This 252-nucleotide ribosomal RNA is filed under the name uncultured bacterium. RNAcentral describes it as "partial 16S ribosomal RNA". It matches the Rfam family "Bacterial small subunit ribosomal RNA", at positions 524 to 776 of the family's 1533-position model. The record is from RNAcentral.